RNAcentral lists this ribosomal RNA (247 nucleotides) under uncultured bacterium. RNAcentral describes it as "partial 16S ribosomal RNA". It matches the Rfam family "Bacterial small subunit ribosomal RNA", at positions 523 to 769 of the family's 1533-position model. The record is from RNAcentral.
AUACGUAGGUGGCAAGCGUUGUCCGGAAUUACUGGGUGUAAAGGGUGCGCAGGCGGGACUGCAAGUUGGAUGUGAAAUACCGAGGCUUAACCUCGGAGCUGCAUCCAAAACUGUGGUUCUUGAGUGGGGUAGAGGUAAGCGGAAUUCCGAGUGUAGCGGUGAAAUGCGUAGAUAUUCGGAGGAACACCAGUGGCGAAGGCGGCUUACUGGGCUCUAACUGACGCUGAGGCACGAAAGCAUGGGUAGC